Molecule: ribosomal RNA, 434 nt
Filed under: uncultured Lachnospiraceae bacterium
Lineage: Bacteria; Bacillati; Bacillota; Clostridia; Lachnospirales; Lachnospiraceae
Description: partial 16S ribosomal RNA
Rfam family: Bacterial small subunit ribosomal RNA
Source: RNAcentral
ACGGGAGGCAGCAGUGGGGAAUAUUGCACAAUGGGGGAAACCCUAAUGCAGCGACGCCGCGUGAGUGAAGAAGUAUUUCGGUAUGUAAAGCUCUAUCAGCAGGAAAGAAAAUGACGGUACCUGACUAAGAAGCCCCGGCUAACUACGUGCCAGCAGCCGCGGUAAUACGUAGGGGGCAAGCGUUAUCCGGAUUUACUGGGUGUAAAGGGAGCGUAGACGGUAAGGCAAGUCUGAAGUGAAAUGCCAGGGCUCAACCCUGGAACUGCUUUGGAAACUGUCCUACUAGAGUGCAGGAGAGGUAAGUGGAAUUCCUAGUGUAGCGGUGAAAUGCGUAGAUAUUAGGAGGAACACCAGUGGCGAAGGCGGCUUACUGGACUGUAACUGACGUUGAGGCUCGAAAGCGUGGGGAGCAAACAGGAUUAGAUACCCUGGUA